GAUGAACGCUGGCGGCGUGCCUAAUACAUGCAAGUCGAGCGAACAGACGAGGAGCUUGCUCCUCUGACGUUAGCGGCGGACGGGUGAGUAACACGUGGAUAACCUACCUAUAAGACUGGGAUAACUUCGGGAAACCGGAGCUAAUACCGGAUAAUAUAUUGAACCGCAUGGUUCAAUAGUGAAAGACGGUUUUGCUGUCACUUAUAGAUGGAUCCGCGCCGCAUUAGCUAGUUGGUAAGGUAACGGCUUACCAAGGCAACGAUGCGUAGCCGACCUGAGAGGGUGAUCGGCCACACUGGAACUGAGACACGGUCCUGACUCCUACGGGAGGCAGCAGUAGGGAAUCUUCCGCAAUGGGCGAAAGCCUGACGGAGCAACGCCGCGUGAGUGAUGAAGGUCUUCGGAUCGUAAAGCUCUGUUAUUAGGGAAGAACAAAUGUGUAAGUAACUAUGCACGUCUUGACGGUACCUAAUCAGAAAGCCACGGCUAACUACGUG
This 497-nucleotide ribosomal RNA is filed under the name uncultured bacterium. Its description in RNAcentral is "partial 16S ribosomal RNA". It matches the Rfam family "Bacterial small subunit ribosomal RNA", at positions 28 to 507 of the family's 1533-position model. The record is from RNAcentral.